This 468-nucleotide ribosomal RNA is filed under the name uncultured bacterium. RNAcentral's name for it is "partial 16S ribosomal RNA". It matches the Rfam family "Bacterial small subunit ribosomal RNA", at positions 28 to 507 of the family's 1533-position model. The record is from RNAcentral.
GACGAACGCCGGCGGCGUGCUUAACACAUGCAAGUCGAACGGAAAGGCCCUGCUUUUGUGGGGUGCUCGAGUGGCGAACGGGUGAGUAACACGUGAGUAACCUGCCCCUGACUUUGGGAUAACUUCAGGAAACUGGGGCUCAUACCGGAUAGGAGCUCCUGCUGCACGGUGGGGGUUGGAAAGUUUCGGCGGUUGGGGAUGGACUGGCAGCUUAUCAGCUUGUUGGUGGGGUAGUGGCUUACCAAGCCUUUGACGGGUAGCCGGCCUGAGAGGGUGACCGGGCACAUUGGGACUGAGAUACGGCCCAGACGGCUACGGGAGGCAGCAGGGGGGAAUAUUGCGGAGUGGGCGGAAGCCUGAUGCAGCGACGCCGCGUGCGGGAUGACGGCCUUCGGGGUGUAAACCGCUUUCGCCUGUGACGAAGCGUGAGUGACGGUAAUGGGUAAGGAAGCACCGGCUAACUACGUG